CCUCUCAUUCAUCUAUGAUUGAAAAUCGCUCUAGUCAAACCCAAUUCCAACCCUUUCGGUCCUGUUCAAAGUUCCUGUAGUCGGACUCCUUUGUCAAUCCCUACCUAGCUACUACAAUAAGCCUCCCCUUCCGUCUAUUAGCCACAAGCCUCCUGCUUCCGUGAACACCUCUUAAGAACCCUUUGCUUGAACACUAACUACAAGAUUCCACUACUAUUCCUUCACAUUCAAGUGCCUUCCUCCCCUAUUUUCUAUCAUACCAUUUCCCAACAACAGCAGUGGCCCAAAAUCACCUCAAGCAGCUCAUAGCCCGCCUCACUUCAAAAAAAAAGAAAAGAAAAGAUUGAGAGAGAGAGAGAGAGAGAGGGAUCUACGUUUUGGACUGUGGAGGGAACGUUGGAGGAAGCGGAAGCGAGAUUCCGGAAGGAAAUGGAUUUCCCUCUUCAUUCCUUUUUCAUGAUUGAUGAUCCUCGAGUUGCAUCCCAGAUCUUUUCUUGAUGAGGGUUUCCCGGUUUCGCUAAGCAGUUUUUGUUUGCUUGUUUUUUUGCUUUCUUCCACCAUCUUGGUGGAUUCUCUUAGGAUUUUCUCUUUUUUAUUGUUUGCGAUCAUUUUUCUUUUGUUGUUUCAUGGAUUAUUUAUCUGAUUUUACUUUAAAAUCAGAUAUGAAUUCUUCUUUGGUUUCAGAUGUUUUCCCGAUGGGAAUUAAAGAGUGGAAUGGAGUAUUGACUUCUAGUCAAUAUUCAUCCAAACCUUUCUCAGUUUCUUUUUUACCGUCUUCUGAUAAUCUUGCUUUGUCUCUGAAGGUGAUGUCUCUGUUGCUUCGGUUAAAUGGGGCCUUACACUUGUAGGAUACUCAUUGGGUUGUGGUUCAAUUGUUUAUCCAUCUGUGUUGUGUCCAACUCAACCGCCACAGCAAUUGAUGACAGCUAGUGAAAAAUUGUUCGUGAGAACCAGGAAGACUUUCAGAAACCGAAUAAGGGAAGAAGUAAAAAUUGGAAGCUUUGGAAUGUUGCUUCAGGCUCAAUGAUAUUAUCAGUUUUGGGAAAGUUGCCUUGGAGAAUGUAGAAAACUUAAUGAUAACUUGGACUAUUUUGCGGCUGCCACCGGCUUAUUGGUUAAUACCGGUAAAAACUCUCUUAUUUUUUCUAAAGAUUGUCCUUUAGAAGAUACUAUUAGUUACAUUGUUGGCAUUAGAACUUCUUAUAAUACCAUUAAAUAUUUAGGUUUUCCCCUCUAGUAAGAAAUUGAAAGUUACUGAUUUUCAGCCUUUAUUUAAUAGGAUUACUAUUUUGUUUGCUGAUUGGAAAGCUAAAUUGCUCUCUUUUAUUGAGAGAGUUCAAAUUUUGAAUUUCACUAUUUCCAAUAUUAUUUUGUAUUGGAUCAGGGGUUUUGCUUUGCCUAAAUA
Molecule: long non-coding RNA, 1405 nt
Organism: Dendrobium catenatum
Lineage: Eukaryota; Viridiplantae; Streptophyta; Magnoliopsida; Asparagales; Orchidaceae
Exons: 3
Source: RefSeq, a predicted model, not a curated record